Molecule: ribosomal RNA, 353 nt
Filed under: Taenia saginata (beef tapeworm)
Lineage: Eukaryota; Metazoa; Platyhelminthes; Cestoda; Cyclophyllidea; Taeniidae
Description: partial 12S rRNA
Source: RNAcentral
CAUUAACGUAUUUUGUAAUAUUAUCUUAGUUUAGUAACUAAAAUGGUUUGGCAGUGAGUGAUUCUUUUUAGGGGAAGGUGUGGUGUAAAGGAUGUUCCGCCUAUUAAUUUACUUUUAUUAUGUUGGUGUAUAUCUGGUUUAAUAUUAUCGUUGAGUGAUGUAUAAGUUUGUGUAGGUUUUAGUUAAGCUAAGUCUAUGUGCUGCUUAUAAAAGUAUACAUGCGUUACAUUGAUAAAGUUUUAGUUGUAAGUGCUAUUAUAUUCAGGACUUAAAAGUAAUGUUAAAUUAGUUUGUUAAUGUGAAGUAAGUUUAGCUCAUGUACACACCGCCCGUCACCCUCGAUUUAUAUUGAG